Molecule: ribosomal RNA, 387 nt
Filed under: uncultured bacterium
Lineage: Bacteria
Description: bacterial SSU rRNA
Rfam family: Bacterial small subunit ribosomal RNA
Source: RNAcentral
AUCGAACGCUGGCGGAAUGCUUUACACAUGCAAGUCGAGCGGCAGCGCGGGGGCAACCCUGGCGGCGAGCGGCGAACGGGUGAGUAACAUAUCGGAACGUACCCAGUCGUGGGGGAUAACUAUCCGAAAGGAUAGCUAAUACCGCAUACGUCCUGAGGGAGAAAGCGGGGGAUCGCAAGACCUCGCGCGAUUGGAGCGGCCGAUAUCGGAUUAGCUAGUUGGUGGGGUAAAGGCUCACCAAGGCGACGAUCCGUAGCGGGUCUGAGAGGACGACCCGCCACACUGGAACUGAGACACGGUCCAGACUCCUACGGGAGGCAGCAGUGGGGAAUUUUGGACAAUGGGGGCAACCCUGAUCCAGCCAUUCCGCGUGAGUGAAGAAGGCCU